UACCUACGGGAGGCAGCAGUGGGGAAUAUUGCACAAUGGGGGAAACCCUGGUGCAGCGACGCCGCGUGAGCGAAGAAGUAUUUCGGUAUGUAAAGCUCUAUCAGCAGGGAAGAAAAAUGACGGUACCUGAGUAAGAAGCACCGGCUAAAUACGUGCCAGCAGCCGCGGUAAUACGUAUGGUGCAAGCGUUAUCCGGAUUUACUGGGUGUAAAGGGAGCGCAGGCGGUGCGGCAAGUCUGAUGUGAAAGCCCGGGGCUCAACCCCGGGACUGCUUUGGAAACUGUGUAGCUAGAGUGCUGGAGAGG
RNAcentral lists this ribosomal RNA (305 nucleotides) under uncultured bacterium. RNAcentral's name for it is "bacterial SSU rRNA". It matches the Rfam family "Bacterial small subunit ribosomal RNA", at positions 335 to 657 of the family's 1533-position model. The record is from RNAcentral.